This 293-nucleotide ribosomal RNA is filed under the name uncultured bacterium. Its description in RNAcentral is "partial 16S ribosomal RNA". It matches the Rfam family "Bacterial small subunit ribosomal RNA", at positions 775 to 1067 of the family's 1533-position model. The record is from RNAcentral.
GGAUUAGAUACCCUGGUAGUCCACACCGUAAACGCUGUCUACUAGCUGUGUGUGCCUUUAAGGCGUGCGUAGCGAAGCUAACGCGCUAAGUAGACCGCCUGGGGAGUACGGCCGCAAGGUUAAAACUCAAAUGAAUUGACGGGGGCCCGCACAAGCGGUGGAGCAUGUGGUUUAAUUCGAUGCAACGCGAAGAACCUUACCUACACUUGACAUGCAGAGAACUUUCUAGAGAUAGAUUGGUGCCUUCGGGAACUCUGACACAGGUGCUGCAUGGCUGUCGUCAGCUCGUGCCG